UCAGAGCGUCGGCUCCCAACCCAUGUGAACUUAUCUCUUUGUUGCCUCGGCGCAAGCUACCCGGGACCUCGCGCCCCGGGCGGCCCGCCGGCGGACAAACCAAAACUCUUGUUAUCUUAGUUGAUUAUCUGAGUGUCUUAUUUAAUAAGUCAAAACUUUCAACAACGGAUCUCUUGGUUCUGGCAUCGAUGAAGAACGCAGCGAAAUGCGAUAAGUAAUGUGAAUUGCAGAAUUCAGUGAAUCAUCGAAUCUUUGAACGCACAUUGCGCCCAUUAGUAUUCUAGUGGGCAUGCCUGUUCGAGCGUCAUUUCAACCCCUAAGCACAGCUUAUUGUUGGGAACCUACGGCUUCGUAGUUCCUCAAAGACAUUGGCGGAGUGGCAGUGGUCCUCUGAGCGUAGUAAUCUUUUAUCUCGCUUCUGUUAGGUGCUGCCCCCCCGGCCGUAAAACCCCCAAUUUUUUCUGGUUGACCUCGGAUCAGGUAGGAAUACCCGCUGAACUUAAGCAUAUCAUAAG
RNAcentral lists this ribosomal RNA (515 nucleotides) under Nigrospora sphaerica. Its description in RNAcentral is "eukaryotic LSU rRNA". The stretch from base 154 to 307 matches the Rfam family "5.8S ribosomal RNA". The record is from RNAcentral. Lineage: Eukaryota; Fungi; Ascomycota; Sordariomycetes; Amphisphaeriales; Apiosporaceae.